RNAcentral lists this long non-coding RNA (907 nucleotides) under Gallus gallus (chicken). RNAcentral's name for it is "lncRNA (ENSGALG00010003773.1)". The record is from RNAcentral. Lineage: Eukaryota; Metazoa; Chordata; Aves; Galliformes; Phasianidae.
GGAUGGAGGACAGGGAGUAAGGAUAGAGGACAAGGAGUAAGGAAGGAGGGCAGGGAGUAAGGAUGGAGGACAAGGAUAAGGGUGGAGGACAAGAAGCAAGGAUGGAGGACGUGGGUGGAGGACAGGGAAUGAGGAUGGAGGGCAUGGAUGGAGGACAAGAUGUAAGGAUGGAGGACAAGAUGUAAGGAUGGAGGGCAUGGAUGGAGGACAAGGAAUAAGAGUGGAGGACAGAGAAUAAGGAUGGAGGACAAGGAGUAAGGAUGGAGAGCGUGGAUGGAGGACAAGGAGUAAGGAUGGAGGACGUGGAUGGAGGACGUGGCACAAGGAUGUAGGACAAGGAUGAGGAUGGAGGGUAGGGAUGGAGGACAAGGAGUAGGGAUGGAGGAUAAGGAGUAAGGAUGGAGGACAUGGCACAAGGAUGCAGGGCAAUGAUAAGGGUGCAGGACAGGGAUGGAAGUCAAGGAGUAAGGAUGGAGGAUGUGGCACAAGGACGCAGGACAAGGAUAAGGAUGGAGGACAGGGAUGGAGGACAAGGAGUAGGGAUGGAGGAUAAGGAGUAAGGAUGGAGGACACGGCACAAGGAGGCAGGAUAAGGAUAAGGAUGGAGGACAUGGAUGGAAGACAUGGCACAAGGACACAGGACAAGGAUAAGGAUGGAGGACAGGGAUGGAAGUCAAGGAGUAAGGAUGGAGGACAUGGAUGGAGAACGUGGCAGAAGGAUGCAGGACAAGGAUAAGGAUGCAGGACAAGAAUAAGGAUGCAGGACCGGGAUAAGGAUGCAGGACAGGGAUAAGGGUGCAGGACAGGGAUAAGGAUGGAGGACAGGGAUAAGGGUGCAGGACAGGGAUAAGGAUGGAGGACAGGGAUAAAGGGAUAAGGGUGCAGGACAGAGAUAAGGGUGCAGGAC